Molecule: long non-coding RNA, 1588 nt
Organism: Suricata suricatta (meerkat)
Lineage: Eukaryota; Metazoa; Chordata; Mammalia; Carnivora; Herpestidae
Exons: 2
Source: RefSeq, a predicted model, not a curated record
UGUGCAACCUUUGUACUUCAUGGACAGUUAGUGCUGAUUCUUGAUUCUUCUCUGAGACCGGCAGCCUCCGAGCCCAGGCAGACAGGCUCCAUCCCCAAGGAGAGUCCUGGGAAGCACCAGAACACAGGCGAGAACUUGAGGGUCAAGCACUGAACUCAGUGAGGAUUUCUCCAACUCGGUGAAGAAGCCGAUUCAUACAGUGGCCGGCUGCAAACCAAGUGAACCAAGAGCUAACUACUCGCGAUGGAAUGGACUAAUGGGGCGGAGUGUAGAAAGAAGAACCGUUUCAGAGAAAACCACAAGGUACACAUCACGAUUCUGGUCCGGGUCGCUGGACUGGGUCCGAUUUCUGCUGGGUUCCUCAGAUAUCUGGCUACAACUCUCCAAACCGAUGUCUCCAGUUUCCCUUCCACAUUUCUGACUUGGAGUCACUACGAACUAAAAAUGCCCUUUUCCCACAGCCCCCACAGUUUGAUGGAUGGCGGACGGCUUGCUGCAAACUGCAGAGAAGUUACCACCAUGGAUCCCCUUGGCACAGCCUCUGCCUGCCUCUGUGAGGAGUCCCCUGGGCACCUGCCGAUGCCAUCGAACCAGGAGGGCCCGCCCCAUGGAGACUGCCAGCCUCACUCCACCACCUGAAGAUGCUGGAGCCCAAAGCCAGACGUGUCCUCAACUGGCUGUUCUCCAAACUGAGACACUGAGUUUAGAAUAGUAACUCUUAACCUUUGGUUUUCUCUUGUUUCCAUAGAAAUGCCUCUCAUGAAAGUUCUGAUUGCUGACACUGUUCGGAGGCCGCGGUGGACAAAGUCUCAGCCGCCGGCCACGCCGCCGCCUCACGCCGCCGCCUCACGCCGGGCCGGGCUGAGCAGUCCUGAUUCAGUCCUGCUCAGCGCACAAGGCUCUCCCGGAACUCGGAGCCGUGUUCACGCCUGGCCCAACAGCUUUCCGGUGCUCACCCUCAACAGAGGACAGCGCUUCCCCUCCGUCAGAAAGGGGGAACUUCGUUUAUUGGAAAAGACGUCAACAAAAACCGCACCUCAGUCUCCUCGGGAAGGGACGGCCCAGGGCGAAAUCUCUAUAAUCACAGCAAAGAUCUGCGACCCUCCAGCCAGAGUCGAUUAGACCAUUACGUAACCGUAGACCAUCUCCUAGCUGGACAAGGGGAGCGCAUGUUACUACGUCACGCUGUGCCCACGUGAAUAACUCAGCAGAAAAUGAAAAUCCAGACUGGGCUGGAAACGUCAACCUGGAAUCUGAUGAUAAUCUAACCAAGUAGUUGAAUUAAUUAAUCAAUCAAUUGAUUGCAUCAGUUAUUCUAGUUUGACAAGGCGUUUACCCUCCUGACAGCAAUGUUCAUAAUCUCUCUCAUGGGCCGUGUCCCCUCCAAAGUCCUGAGUGCUCUCCACCGGCCACUGACUGGCCAGUGAGAAUCAACCUUCAGGUGCCCUUGGAGGAAGGGCGGCCUUAAUCAGUGGGUCCCACUGAUUGGAUGAGCAAAGGGAGCUAAUUGUCAAAGAAAACCCCAAACGAGGCCACUUCCAGUCUGCGUGCUUUGCUGGCAGUCGAUAAAAUAUUCAUGAAGUCUGAA